RNAcentral lists this ribosomal RNA (516 nucleotides) under uncultured bacterium. RNAcentral's name for it is "partial 16S ribosomal RNA". It matches the Rfam family "Bacterial small subunit ribosomal RNA", at positions 28 to 523 of the family's 1533-position model. The record is from RNAcentral.
GACGAACGCUGGCGGCGUGCCUAACACAUGCAAGUCGAACGGAGAUUUUAUUUAUGAAAUCUUAGUGGCGAACGGGUGAGUAACGCGUAGACAACCUGCCUUUUAGAUGGGGACAACACCGCGAAAGUGGUGCUAAUACCGAAUGUUGUAUUUUGGUCGCAUGAUUGAGAUACUAAAGAUGGCCUCUAUUUAUAAGCUAUCACUAAAAGAUGGGUCUGCGUCUGAUUAGCUAGUUGGUGAGGUAAUGGCUCACCAAGGCGACGAUCAGUAGCCGGUUUGAGAGGAAGAACGGCCACACUGGGACUGAGACACGGCCCAGACUCCUACGGGAGGCAGCAGUGGGGAAUCUGCCGCAAUGGACGAAAGUCUGACGGAGCAACGCCGCGUGAGUGAAGAAGGUUUUCGGAUCGUAAAACUCUGUUUUCAGGGACGAAUGUGCGAUGUGUAAAUAAUGCAUUGUAAUGACGGUACCUGAGUAGAAAGCCACGGCUAACUACGUGCCAGCCGCCGCGGUAA